RNAcentral lists this ribosomal RNA (473 nucleotides) under uncultured bacterium. Its description in RNAcentral is "bacterial SSU rRNA". It matches the Rfam family "Bacterial small subunit ribosomal RNA", at positions 328 to 793 of the family's 1533-position model. The record is from RNAcentral.
CGCGUACACUCCUACUGGAGGCAGCAGUGGGGAAUAUUGCACAAUGGGCGCAAGCCUGAUGCAGCCAUGCCGCGUGUAUGAAGAAGGCCUUCGGGUUGUAAAGUACUUUCAGCAGUGAGGAAGGUGGUGUCGUUAAUAGCGGCAUCAUUUUGACGUUAGCUGCAGAAGAAGCACCGGCUAACUCCGUGCCAGCAGCCGCGGUAAUACGGAGGGUGCGAGCGUUAAUCGGAAUUACUGGGCGUAAAGCGCAUGCAGGUGGUUUGUUAAGUCAGAUGUGAAAGCCCGGGGCUCAACCUCGGAAUUGCAUUUGAAACUGGCAGACUAGAGUACUGUAGAGGGGGUAGAAUUUCAGGUGUAGCGGUGAAAUGCGUAGAGAUCUGAAGGAAUACCGGUGGCGAAGGCGGCCCCCUGGACAGAUACUGACACUCAGAUGCGAAAGCGUGGGGAGCAAACAGGAUUAGAUACCCUGGUAG